GGGGAUGUAGCUCAGUGGUAGAUUGCUUUCCUAGUAUAUAUGAGGCUCUGGGAUCAAUCUCCAGUACUUCA
Molecule: transfer RNA, 71 nt
Filed under: Marmota monax (woodchuck)
Lineage: Eukaryota; Metazoa; Chordata; Mammalia; Rodentia; Sciuridae
Description: tRNA.Thr
Source: RNAcentral